CAAAUCCCAGACUCAAUUGGAAAGUUGACAUCAUUAACUGAGCUGCAUUUGGAAUCUUCGGCCAUUGAAAAAUUACCUGAAUCCAUUGGAUCUUUGAAGAAGCUCAAGACUCUCAAUGCCUCUUAUUGUGCAUCGUUAGCUCGCAUACCCAAUUCGAUAGGCGAUUUAGCAUCUCUGUCUCACCUUGACCUAACGGACUGCAAAGAACUUGAUCAACUUCCAAACUCCAUAGGCUCCCUCAUGUCUCUACAGCAAUUGUUAUUGUCAGGAUGCUGCUCAUUGAGACAAAUCCCAGACUCAAUCGGAAAGUUGACAUUAUUAACCGAGCUGGAUUUGGAAUUUUUGGCCAUUGAAAAAUUACCUGAAUCCAUUGGAUCUUUGAAGAAGCUCAAGACUCUCGAUGCCUCUUAUUGUGCAUCGUUAGCUCGCAUACCCAAUUCAAUAGGCGAUUUAGCAUCUCUGUCUCACCUUUACCUAACGAACUGCAAAGAACUUGAUCAACUUCCAAACUCCAUAGGCUCCCUCAUGUCUCUACAGCAAUUGUUAUUAUCAGGAUGCUGCUCAUUGCGACAAAUCCCAGACUCAAUCGGAAAGUUGACAUUAUUAACCGAGCUGGAUUUGGAAUUUUUGGCCAUUGAAAAAUUACCUGAAUCCAUUGGAUCUUUGAAGAAGCUCAAGACUCUCGAUGCCUCUGAUUGUGCAUCGUUAGCUCGCAUACCCAAUUCAAUAGGCGAUUUAGCAUCUCUGUCUCACCUUGACCUAACGGACUGCAAAGAACUUGAUCAACUUCCAAACUCCAUUGGCUCCCUCAUGUCUCUACAGCAAUUAUUAUUGUCAGGAUGCUGCUCAUUGAGACAAAUCCCAGACUCGAUCGGAAAGUUGACAUCAUUAACUGAGCUGCAUUUGAAAUCUUCGGCCAUUGAAAAAUUACCUGAAUCAAUUGGAUCUUUGAAGAAGCUCAAGACUCUCGAUGCCUCUUAUUGUGCAUCGUUAGCUCGCAUACCCAAUUCAAUAGGCGAUUUAGCAUCUCUGUCUCACCUUGACCUAACGAACUGCAAAGAACUUGAUCAACUUCCAAACUCCAUAGGCUCCCUCAUGUCUCUACAGCAAUUGUUAUUAUCAGGAUGCUGCUCAUUGAGACAAAUCCCAGACUCGAUCGGAAGGUUGACAUCAAUGACUAGGCUGCAUUUGGAAUCUUCGGCCAUUGAAAAAUUACCUGAAUCCAUUGGAUCUUUGAAGAAGCUCAAGACUCUCAAUGCCUCUUAUUGUGCAUCGUUAGCUCGCAUACCCAAUUCAAUAGGCGAUUUAGCAUCUCUGUCUCAC
RNAcentral lists this long non-coding RNA (1323 nucleotides) under Eucalyptus grandis. RNAcentral describes it as "long non-coding RNA (EGRA_LNC001890)". Lineage: Eukaryota; Viridiplantae; Streptophyta; Magnoliopsida; Myrtales; Myrtaceae. The record is from RNAcentral.